GACGAACGCUGGCGGCGUGCUUAACACAUGCAAGUCGAACGGAAAGGCCCUGCUUUUGUGGGGUGCUCGAGUGGCGAACGGGUGAGUAACACGUGAGUAACCUGCCCUUGACUUUGGGAUAACUUCAGGAAACUGGGGCUAAUACCGGAUAGGAGCUCUUGCUGCAUGGUGGGGGUUGGAAAGGUUCGGCGGUUGGGGAUGGACUCGCGGCUUAUCAGCUUGUUGGUGGGGUAGUGGCUUACCAAGGCUUUGACGGGUAGCCGGCCUGAGAGGGUGACCGGCCACAUUGGGACUGAGAUACGGCCCAGACUCCUACGGGAGGCAGCAGUGGGGAAUAUUGCACAAUGGGCGGAAGCCUGAUGCAGCAACGCCGCGUGCGGGAUGACGGCCUUCGGGUUGUAAACCGCUUUCGCCUGUGACGAAGCGUGAGUGACGGUAAUGGGUAAAGAAGCACCGGCUAACUACGUG
This 468-nucleotide ribosomal RNA is filed under the name uncultured bacterium. RNAcentral describes it as "partial 16S ribosomal RNA". It matches the Rfam family "Bacterial small subunit ribosomal RNA", at positions 28 to 507 of the family's 1533-position model. The record is from RNAcentral.